RNAcentral lists this ribosomal RNA (530 nucleotides) under [Candida] sp. SL-2010a. RNAcentral describes it as "eukaryotic LSU rRNA". It matches the Rfam family "Eukaryotic large subunit ribosomal RNA", at positions 77 to 654 of the family's 3401-position model. The record is from RNAcentral. Lineage: Eukaryota; Fungi; Ascomycota; Saccharomycetes; Saccharomycetales.
GCCUUAGUAGCGGCGAGUGAAGCGGCAAAAGCUCAAAUUUGAAAUCUGCUAGUAAUAGCCGAGUUGUAAUUUGGAGAUUGAUCUCUGCAAACGACCUUUGCUCAAGUUCUUUGGAAAAAGACAUCAUGGAGGGUGACAAUCCCGUGAGGCAUUGGUUAGUUUGCGUGUAGAGUUCAUUCAAAGAGUCGAGUUGUUUGGGAUUGCAGCUCUAAGUGGGUGGUAAACACCAUCUAAAGCUAAAUAUUGGCGAGAGACCGAUAGCGAACAAGUACUGUGAAGGAAAGAUGAAAAGCACUUUGAAAAGAGAGUGAAAUAGUACGUGAAAUCGUUGGAAUGGAAGGGCUUGAAGUUAGACAUGGUGCUAUAAGUUCCAGUUCCUCUUGGGGGGCUGUACUCUUUUUGUACUGGGCUAGCUCUUGUUUUGGUGGGAGGAUAAAAGGCAUGGAAUGUAGCAGCUUGCUGUAUUAUAGACUUGUCUAAUACUCUCUACCGGGACAAUAGCUGGCGUAAUGACUUUAAGCCACCCGUCU